GAGGCACUCAAGAAGUGAUAGCUAAAAUGGUUGACCUGAAUGGCCAAUGAUAUUCACAAUCGUAAUAAAUCAUUGAAGUCAAUGGUGGUUAAGAGUGACAAAUGUUGGUGACACAAGUCUAGUGGAAUUUUUGGAUAUUUGAUAAGUAAAGAAAGAGGAAAGUAGCAAUGAGUUUAGGAUGGGGAGUUUUUCAAAAUAUCCCUCUUUCCAUGGUCAAAGUGAAAAAU
This 227-nucleotide long non-coding RNA is filed under the name Olea europaea (common olive). Its description in RNAcentral is "long non-coding RNA (OEUR_LNC012225)". The record is from RNAcentral. Lineage: Eukaryota; Viridiplantae; Streptophyta; Magnoliopsida; Lamiales; Oleaceae.